RNAcentral lists this non-coding RNA (26 nucleotides) under Homo sapiens (human). The record is from RNAcentral. Lineage: Eukaryota; Metazoa; Chordata; Mammalia; Primates; Hominidae.
UAGCAGGUGCUGUGGAUGCUGCUGGU